CGUUGACAUUUUGAGUUCAAGAAAACCAGUUGAUAUGAUCUUACCUGAACUUGGUCCUUAUACUCUAGAAUACACCUCAAAUGGUCGCUACAUGAUAGUAGGUGGGCGAAAAGGUCAUAUUGGUAUGAUGGAUAUGUUGAGUAUGGAUCUCAUCAAAGAGUUUCAGGUAUAUGCAAAGAUUUGAUCCUGGAUUUGGUUUUAAUGGAGGCGCGUACACCAUUCAACCUUUGUAUGCUCCUGCUAUUACCUACAACACUGAGUUCCCCCAGCUUGGGUCGCCACAAAUGUCUCCUGUUCCUGUUGA
Long non-coding RNA from Hordeum vulgare subsp. vulgare (domesticated barley), 304 nucleotides. RefSeq lists it as uncharacterized. The transcript has 3 exons. Lineage: Eukaryota; Viridiplantae; Streptophyta; Magnoliopsida; Poales; Poaceae. The record is from RefSeq and is a predicted model, not a curated record.